GCGCGAAAACUUUACAAUGCGGGCAACCGUGAUAAGGAAACCCCGAGUGCCAGCACAGGCUGGCUGUCCGCCAGUUUAAAUAACUGGUGAAGAAAGGGCCGGGCAAGACCGGUGCCAGCCGCCGCGGUAAUACCGGCGGCUCGAGUGGUGGCCACUAUUACUGGGCUUAAAGCGUUCGUAGCUGGUCUGUUAAGUCUCUGGGGAAAUCUGCCGGCUUAACCGGCAGGCGUUUCAGGGAUACUGGCAGACUAGGGACCGGGAGAGGUGAGAGGUACUCCAGGGGUAGGAGUGAAAUCCUGUAAUCCUUGGGGGACCACCUGUGGCGAAGGCGUCUCACCAGAACGGCUCCGACAGUGAGGGACGAAAGCUGGGGGAGCAAACCGGAUUAGAUACCCGGGUAGUCCCAGCUGUAAACGAUGCGCGUUAGGUGUAUCGGUGACCACGAGUCACCGAGGUGCCGAAGAGAAAUCGUGAAACGUGCCGCCUGGGAAGUACGGUCGCAAGGCUGAAACUUAAAGGAAUUGGCGGGGGAGCGACCACAACA
This 544-nucleotide ribosomal RNA is filed under the name uncultured Methanomicrobiales archaeon. RNAcentral's name for it is "bacterial SSU rRNA". It matches the Rfam family "Archaeal small subunit ribosomal RNA", at positions 339 to 886 of the family's 1478-position model. The record is from RNAcentral. Lineage: Archaea; Methanobacteriati; Methanobacteriota; Methanomicrobia; Methanomicrobiales.